RNAcentral lists this long non-coding RNA (993 nucleotides) under Equus caballus (horse). Its description in RNAcentral is "lncRNA (ENSECAG00000048290.1)". The record is from RNAcentral. Lineage: Eukaryota; Metazoa; Chordata; Mammalia; Perissodactyla; Equidae.
CUGUCGCCCAGUCCCAGCCCAGGGCCCAGACAACGGGGCUCCUCAGGGGAUUCCUGUUUGCUCCCCAAUCGUAGGCGCUCCUGCCUGUGGUUAAACGGGGUACAUCCUUUCUUUUGACCCUGAGAAACCUGACCAGCUGGACGGCACGGAUUCCUGACAUUUUUAUGAGCAUUUUUCCUUUCCUUCGCUCCCUCCACCAGGAAUGCCAGACUGCCCCGUCUCCACCUGCUGAUAAUGUUUAAGGCCGUCCCAGUGCCACCCCUACAAGGAGCCUUUCUGCAUGCAGCCCUCCAAGCAGACGUGACCUCCCUCUCCUCUGAACGUGGAACGCUUGGAGCACCUUCCGCGUGGCUCUCGCAUCUGCCCUGUAUGGUGGUUAUGUGUAUAUUCCCCUCUGUAGGCUCCUGGAAACAGGGCUUGUGUCCAGACUUCACUCCCGGAGUCACCCAGUGCUGCGCCUGACACUGGGAGACAUCUGAUAUUUGUAUGGAAUGUAUCUUUGUGCGUCCAGAAUUACCUUGCUUACCUUCCCAGAAUGGCAUGUGGGUUACAUGACCAGCCAGGAGGUCACCACCACCUCCGAGAAUCUGGAAACAGGCAAACAAGAUUUCCCUUGGAGAUCAAGGUUGCCAGAUUCAGCAAAUCAAAAGACAAGCUUCCCAGUUAAUUAGAAUUUCAGAUAAAUAAGGAAUAAUUUUUUAGUGUAAGUAUGUCCCACGCAAGAUUUGGGACAUGCUUAGACUGAAAAAAUAUUCAUUGUUUAUCUGAAAUUCAGAUGUAUUGUAUCUGGGAACCCUACUUGGAGAGCUCAAGUAUCAAACUGACACACAUGGAGUACAAGGAAGAAAUGUCAUCACCCUAAGAGGUCAGCACGGGUCCUUCAGCAAGACAGGAUUGUCAUUGGAGGAUAUAAGAAAAGUAUAUUUACAAAAACACUUUGAACCGGGGCUGGCCCCAUGGCCGAGUGGUUAAGUUCGCACGCUCCGCUGCAGG